UGUGUGGGCAGGGGUGCCCGGGGCUGGGCAGGGCAAUGCCCGUGUGCGCGGGGGUCGCCCUCAAUCCGUGUUGUUCCCGGCAAGUGCAGCAUGGUCCGGAGCCGGUGCAGACGCCGCCCCGACAGAGCUGGUCGGCACCGCGGGGGAGACGGUCACGUUUCCUCUCGAGAUCCCGGCAGGGGAGACAUUAGAUACUGCUGUCUGGACGAUUGGCACAGAGUCUAGCAACGGCGGGACCAGGAGACCCCGCGAGUGUCCUUGUCACAGACAGACGCUAUAGGGGCCGCCUGCGUGUCCCCAACGCCGGCCUCGCACUGCACAUCACCGACCUGAGGCCGGAGGACGCGGGGUCCUACACAGUUAGAGUCAACACGGAUAAAAGUGUAUUCACCCGGUUCUUCUCACUGCGGGUCUACGAGCAGCUGUCAGAGUCCACAAUUCACUGCAAUGCCCAGAGCUGUGCAAAUGGACCCUGUAACAUCACCCUGAGCUGCUCCAUCCCCAAAGGAGGCAACAGCGUGACCUACAGCUGGAGCCCCCACAGCCCCCCAGUAUGACCGUUGAAGGAUCCAUCGUGGUUAUCUCUCCCCCAGAUCUUCUGAUAAACGUCACGUGCACAGUGCAGAACCCCGCCAGCAGCAGCUCCACGACGGCCUCUGUCAAGGCCCUUUGUGCAGCAAACACGCCUGCCCAGGCCUCAUCACUGUCCUACUGCCAGGCCAAGAAGCUCAUCCUGCUGUUGGUGUUGGGAGUGCUGAUCACCGGGACCGUGGCAGUGCACAUCAUGCCUGGCAAGCUGCUGAAACAGGAUUGAGCAGGGCCCAGCCCACUCCAGCCCUGCUCUGCUCUGGGAGGGAAGGAUAGAAAAGCUGGAGCAUGGAGGAGAAGCAGCCGGUGGGCUGUGGGGGUCCGACUCCAAGUGACAGAGACCAGUUUCUACAGCAGCACAGACACCCUGGAGGAGAAAUGCCAUCCCAUCGCUGCCUCCUACCAUGCCCAGUGGGGACAAUAGACCAUGUCCCCCAGUCUACAGGGCAGUCACUGGCUGGGCUCAGGGGCACACAGACAUGGGCAAGACACUACCCCGCUGUCCUAGGGGCAGCUGCAGCCUUGAAACAAACUUUCCCUCCUCUGCACUAUCUGUCUCUGAACCCUCAGGGUCAAUCCUCCCCCAACUACUCCUCAAGAGCCCCAUGAGUUUGCACCGUGGGUCCCAGGGCUUGUUCAGCCAUCAGCAUUGUGGGUGCCAACAUCCCUGGGAGGCAGGAUCUCCACUGGCAGGGUAAUGCCCAAGCACCCCGCCCCCCUCGCCCAUUUCCAUUUUGCAGCAAACCCAGCCCAGCCCCAUCAUGGGGGAGCUCCGAACAAACCUUGCUGCCUGUCCCUGCACUUCCUGCCCCGGCCUUGAAAGCCUGCCUCCACUGCACCCACCCCAGUGCCCGUCUUGGCCCCUGACCUGCUCCUCCAUCCAGGCAGGGCACUGCUCUCCUGCUGGGCCAAGGGGCUCAUCCUGCUGCCACCGGUCCUGGUGCCCAGGGGAAGGCUUUACAAAAGCUUGGACCCAGGAGCAGAGACCCUGCAGGGUGCUCUGUUGGGACCCAGAGGCCUUCAGGCCCGGGUUUUGAGCCUUGUGCUUAGGUUAAACUCAGUGCUUUGCUUAAAUUGUGGUCGAGACAAGCACGCAGUGCAAGGAGCAGGUGGGAAAAUACUGUCCCUGCCUGAAAACAAAUUGAGAAGCUAACUUACUUAAUUGAAUAAAUAUAGCCUGGACAAAAGAGCAAACCUACCCCUACCUAGGAAUGAAAACAUCACCUUGGAGUAGAGAAUACCAGUUAAAAGAAACUAUAUUUGACAAACACAAGCAAAAUUUUAAUAUGCAUUAUGACAGAGCUGGGCAAAAUGUGGCCCAGGGGCCGGAUGCAGCCCCCCAAGCCAUUCUAUCCAGCCUGCGGGGCCCCUAAAACAUUUAGAAACUUAAUAUUUAUCUGCCCUGGACUGACUGCCUGUUAUGCAGCCCUCGAUCGCUUGCCAAAUCUCAGUAAGCAGCUUUCUGCCCAAAAUAAUUGUCUGCCCCUGCAUUAGGAGGAAGCAUUACGUUGAUUUUCUGUAUUAAGAAAUACAAGCUAUCUGGUAUGUAAAGAAAGGAGAGGGCACGGACCCUUCUGCACCUAGUCCUGGGUGAUCUGGUCACCGAUCCAAGAUCCAGAACUCAGACGAAGGAGUCGGGAACCUUGGACAAAACCUCACAGACUGCCCAUCCAGAGACGUUGCCUCCGUUCAACCUUGGGGUGGUGAGCAUCUUUUUUUUUUUGCUUUGACCAACUACAGUUCACAGAUUAAUAAGUCCUGAAAAUGCUCCAUUUUUCCUUGAGGGUUGUAUCUGACAGGGUUCAAUAAACUUGCUUCUCAUUUAGGAAA
This is a long non-coding RNA of Alligator mississippiensis (American alligator), 2418 nucleotides long. RefSeq lists it as uncharacterized. The transcript is spliced from 3 exons. NCBI's taxonomy places the organism in Eukaryota, Metazoa, Chordata, Crocodylia, Alligatoridae. The record is from RefSeq and is a predicted model, not a curated record.